RNAcentral lists this ribosomal RNA (301 nucleotides) under uncultured bacterium. RNAcentral's name for it is "partial 16S ribosomal RNA". It matches the Rfam family "Bacterial small subunit ribosomal RNA", at positions 509 to 808 of the family's 1533-position model. The record is from RNAcentral.
CAGUAGCCGCGGGAAUACGUAGGUGGCAAAGUUGUCCGGAAUUAUUGGGCGUAAAGGGCUCGCAGGCGGUUGUGUAAGACAGGUGUGAAAUCCCCGGGCUUAACCUGGGAACUGCGCUUGUGACUGCACAGCUAGAGUAUGGCAGAGGGGGGUGGAAUUCCACGUGUAGCAGUGAAAUGCGUAGAGAUGUGGAGGAACACCGAUGGCGAAGGCAGCCCCCUGGGCCAAUACUGACGCUCAUGCGCGAAAGCGUGGGGAGCAAACAGGAUUAGAUACCCCCGUAGUCCCUGUCUCUUAUACA